This is a long non-coding RNA of Leptopilina boulardi, 590 nucleotides long. RefSeq lists it as uncharacterized. The transcript has 3 exons. The record is from RefSeq and is a predicted model, not a curated record. Lineage: Eukaryota; Metazoa; Arthropoda; Insecta; Hymenoptera; Figitidae.
UUUUUUUCUACACUUUUAGGUGUAUUUUGUGCAAGAAUAUGCAAUAAAAUCGUCCGCCUAAGAAAAAUUGAAUUUUUUUGGAAAUUUUUUUUUUUACCUGAAUGACUUUUUGGUGGUUAUAGAGGUCUUCCUCUACUCGGAUUUGGCUGUCGAUUUUUUUCUACACUUUUAGGUGUAUUUUGUGCAAGAAUAUGCAAUAAAAUCGUCCGCCUAAGAAAAAUUGAAUUUUUUUGGAAAUUUUUUUUUUUACCUGAAUGACUUUUUGGUGGUUAUAGAGGUCUUCCUCUACUCGGAUUUGGCUGUCGAUUUUUUUCUACACUUUUAGGUGUAUUUUGUGCAAGAAUAUGCAAUAAAAUCGUCCGCCUAAGAAAAAUUGAAUUUUUUUGGAAAUUUUUUUUUGGACCUGGAUGACAUUUUGGUGGUUAUAGAGGUCUUCCUCUACUCGGAUUUGGCUGUCGAUUUUUUUCUACACUUUUAGGUGUAUUUUGUACAAGAAUAUGCAAUAAAAUCGUCCGCCUAAGAAAAAUUGAAUUUUUUUGGAAAUUUUUUUUUGGACCUGGAUGAAUUUUUGGUGGUAAUAGAGGUCUUCC